RNAcentral lists this long non-coding RNA (321 nucleotides) under Fragaria vesca (wild strawberry). RNAcentral describes it as "long non-coding RNA (FVES_LNC002718)". The record is from RNAcentral. Lineage: Eukaryota; Viridiplantae; Streptophyta; Magnoliopsida; Rosales; Rosaceae.
CUUUAAAAGGAGCGCGGAGAAGUGCAAGGAGAAGUUUGAAGAGGAAAGCAGGUACUUCAACAACAUCAACUUCAAUAAGAACUUCAGGUUUCUCAGUGAGCUUGAGCAGCUCUAUCAACCACCACCAGUCGAGCCACCUCAGAACCCAGCUGAGGAUCAACCAGAAAAGAAUGUUACCCAAAAGGAAUUAGCAGUAGAAGUUGAAAAGCCAAGUGAAGAACUAGGAGAUCACCAAGAUAAAAGUCAUCAACCAGCUUCUGAUGCUCAAGAGACGUCACCAAGCAAUGAUCAAACGGUGAGUGAGAAAGGGAUGGAAGUUGU